GCUGGGCGUGGUGGCACACACCUGUAAUCCCAGCAGCAUGGGAGGCUGAGGCAGGAGGAUCUUGAGUUCAAAGCCAGCCUAAGCAACACAGUGAGCCACCACCCUAAAUGACUCAGCAAGACCCUGUCUCUU
RNAcentral lists this small RNA (132 nucleotides) under Marmota monax (woodchuck). The record is from RNAcentral. Lineage: Eukaryota; Metazoa; Chordata; Mammalia; Rodentia; Sciuridae.